Long non-coding RNA from Pungitius pungitius (ninespine stickleback), 422 nucleotides. RefSeq lists it as uncharacterized. The record is from RefSeq and is a predicted model, not a curated record. NCBI's taxonomy places the organism in Eukaryota, Metazoa, Chordata, Actinopteri, Perciformes, Gasterosteidae. The transcript is spliced from 4 exons.
ACGUCACUAUUUAGCUCAGGUUGACGAGCGGCCCUGAUGACGCGUCCAAGAUGGCCGACAGGCCCCUGAGCUGUAACUUCCGCUGCCCGACUGUUCGUGACGAUGGAGACCUGAUGGAAGAAAGGAGACUGACUGAAAAUGUUGGAGGAGCAGCUGGAGAAGAACAAGGCUGAAGACAAGCAGAAGACAGAGGACGAAAUGAACAGAGCUGCUGAAUGAGCAGAGACACUUGAAGGUCUUGGAGAAGACGAGGAGGAGGAUGGAGCGAACAUUUGGGCGCAGUUUCCAGACCUGAGGACGGCAGGUUUCUUCUUCUGCUCUGCGGUUACUCUGAGAAGUAACUUUGACAGUUUGGGGGUGGUUCAGCUUUCGUUAAAUGUUUGCUGUGCAGCUGAAUUUUAAUAAAGAAUAAUUUGGUAUAA